Molecule: long non-coding RNA, 378 nt
Organism: Entelurus aequoreus (snake pipefish)
Lineage: Eukaryota; Metazoa; Chordata; Actinopteri; Syngnathiformes; Syngnathidae
Exons: 3
Source: RefSeq, a predicted model, not a curated record
AGGUGGAUCUGCACCGUGUUGCCAUCAAAGAAGACUGUAACUGUGUAGUUGGACUGCGAUAUUUUAGCAGUCACUCCGCUCUGAUCCUUGGUGCACGAUCACAUGGUCCAAGAAGCUGACGUCCUUGCGGCGCCGCUCCUUGAAUACGCCCUGGAUCCGGACGUUUGGGACGGCCUCAGACUUCAUCAGAGUGUAUCCGCAUCGGUCAGUCACAGUGUGAACCCGGCCGACAAAAUCGAUGACCGUGGAGGCGGUCAAAGUGCACAUGGCGUCAAAGGCGCAGCUGAUGGAAUAGAUACAGUUUCGGAAUGAAGAGGAGCAAUCUUUAUGUGGUCUUACCUGUCUGAAGGCCAAGCACUGCCAGGUAGAGAAGGAAGC